ACCCGCUGAACUUAAGCAUAUCAAUAAGCGGAGGAAAAGAAACUAACUAGGAUUCCCCUAGUAACGGCGAGUGAAGCGGGAAGAGCUCAAAUUUGAAAUCUGGCAGCCUCAGGUUGCCCGAGUUGUAAUCUAUAGAAACGUUUUCCGCGCCGGCCCAUGUACAAGUCCCUUGAAAUAGGGCGUCAUAGAGGGUGAGAAUCCCGUCCUUGACACGGACCACCGGUGCUUUGUGAUACGUUUUCAACGAGUCGAGUUGUUUGGGAAUGCAGCUCAAAAUGGGUGGUAAAUUCCAUCUAAAGCUAAAUAUUGGCGAGAGACCGAUAGCGAACAAGUACCGAUGAGGGAAAGAUGAAAAGCACUUUGCGAAAGAGAGUUAAACAGUAUGUGAAAUUGUUGAAAGGGAAACGAUUGAAGUCAGUCGUGUCUAUUGGACUCAGCCGGUUCUGCCGGUGUACUUCCUUUAGAUGGGGUCAACAUCAGUUUUGAUCGCUGGAAAAGUUCGGGAUGGAUGUAGCACUCUCGGUUGAACUUAUAGCCUUCCGUCGUAUACAGUGAGUUAGGAUUGAGGAACGCAGCAUGCCUUUAUGUGCCGGGGUUCGCCCACGUACAUGCUUACGAUGUUGACAUAAUGGCUUUAAACGACCCGUCUUGAAACACGG
Molecule: ribosomal RNA, 659 nt
Filed under: uncultured fungus
Lineage: Eukaryota; Fungi
Description: LSU rRNA
Rfam family: Eukaryotic large subunit ribosomal RNA
Source: RNAcentral